UACGUAGGGUGCGAGCGUUGUCCGGAAUUACUGGGCGUAAAGAGCUCGUAGGUGGUUUGUCACGUCGUCUGUGAAAUUCCGGGGCUUAACCUCGGGCGUGCAGGCGAUACGGGCAAUACUUGAGUGCUGUAGGGGAGACUGGAAUUCCUGGUGUAGCGGUGAAAUGCGCAGAUAUCAGGAGGAACACCAAUGGCGAAGGCAGGUCUCUGAGCAGUUACUGACGCUGAGGAGCGAAAGCAUGGGUAGCGAACAGGAUUA
This 258-nucleotide ribosomal RNA is filed under the name uncultured prokaryote. RNAcentral's name for it is "partial 16S ribosomal RNA". It matches the Rfam family "Bacterial small subunit ribosomal RNA", at positions 524 to 780 of the family's 1533-position model. The record is from RNAcentral.